This 514-nucleotide ribosomal RNA is filed under the name Phialocephala fortinii. Its description in RNAcentral is "eukaryotic LSU rRNA". The stretch from base 181 to 334 matches the Rfam family "5.8S ribosomal RNA". Lineage: Eukaryota; Fungi; Ascomycota; Leotiomycetes; Helotiales; Mollisiaceae. The record is from RNAcentral.
UUAUUACAAGUGAGGCUACCGAACGUUGGAAACAGCGGUUAGGAGCUUACACCCACCCGUGUUUACAUACUAUUGUUGCUUUGGCGGGCCGUGGCCUCCACUGCGGGCUCUGCUCGUGUGUGCCCGCCAGAGAACCAAACUCUGAAUGUUAGUGAUGUCUGAGUACUAUCUAAUAGUUAAAACUUUCAACAACGGAUCUCUUGGUUCUGGCAUCGAUGAAGAACGCAGCGAAAUGCGAUAAGUAAUGUGAAUUGCAGAAUUCAGUGAAUCAUCGAAUCUUUGAACGCACAUUGCGCCCUGUGGUAUUCCGCAGGGCAUGCCUGUUCGAGCGUCAUUUAACCACUCACGCCUAGCGUGGUAUUGGGGCACGCGGUCUCCGCGGCCCUCAAAAUUAGUGGCGGCGCCGGUGGGCUCUAAGCGUAGUACAUACUCCCGCUAUAGAGUUCCCCCGGUGGCUCGCCAGAACCCCCAAUUUUUACAGGUUGACCUCGGAUCAGGUAGGGAUACCCAGUCU